Uranotaenia lowii is the source of this 597-nucleotide long non-coding RNA. RefSeq lists it as uncharacterized. The record is from RefSeq and is a predicted model, not a curated record. The transcript is spliced from 3 exons. Lineage: Eukaryota; Metazoa; Arthropoda; Insecta; Diptera; Culicidae.
CUAUUUGAAAUAAUUUACGGGUUAUCCUUUUAAAAGUAGGCCGGAUGAAAAAUAGUAAACAAUCAGCUUCUAAAAGUAAAAACAAAAGUUGUGAAGGCUGCCGUACGAAAUAAAUUAUCCUUGCCAUCAAUUUUGCAUACCAUGAAUUGAUAAUCUCCGUGUGAGUCGUAUCCGCAACAUUUAAAUUUGAACUUCGAAAAAGGAACAUACCUACAAAAUAUGUGGACCGUGAACAAGCCGCUGCAAUUUCUGUUACAAUACAAUCCAAUUUUAAAGAACUGCAGAAACAGAGUCUACAGGAGGAGUUAUUGGCUGAUACCAGAAAACAAAAUUUAAGAAAAUUAUCAAAAUUGUUCGAUUUUUACGGAAAAUCGUCGCAUUCAACAUGGAAAAAUAAUGAGCUAAAUCGACCCACAUUUCCUAAGGAUCCAUCGAUCCGUCGAAAUAAUCUGCCUUUGAUGUUUGUUCGAAUGGUACUGGAUGUGUAGUUAAUGUUGCUGUGAGAGUUACAUUCAUUGAAAAGGGAAAUAAGAAGAAUCGGAAUAACUAUGUUUUUACUAAUGCGGAAAACGUAAAAAACUAUGAAAUGUAGUCUGA